Molecule: long non-coding RNA, 2274 nt
Filed under: Gallus gallus (chicken)
Lineage: Eukaryota; Metazoa; Chordata; Aves; Galliformes; Phasianidae
Source: RNAcentral
CAGCAAGCUGCCAUCCAGACCACAGUGCUUUAUCUGAAUAGAACACACUGGAGAGGGUCAUCUUGCAUCAGACUCACAGAAAUGCCCAGAGAUGCAUGUGUAGAAUCAAUGAAGAAAUGGAGACACCCCUAGCACAAAUACCAACGUCCACAAGCAAAUGUCUAUACCCUCCUUUCAAGCAUAUCUCCAUCCUUCUCCUUCCCAUGUGGGCCUUCAGUGAACUGCUCACAUCAGCUCAGCACAUUUCUUCACUACUUGUGUUUGUGUAAGUAGAAGCAACAUUGAUAUUGCUGCCAUUCUUGCAAUCAGUGGAACUGGCUACAAAUGUGGUCAUUAGAAAAAGGUAAAUAAACUAUUAAAUUCAUUAAAUAUGUUGAUGUAAAUGUGAGUAGUCACGCAGCAUGAGUAGGUUUAAGGCAUCAUUAUAUUCUAUACAUCACACACAAACCUGAGUGUUGGAUUCUGCCUGGAAAAGGUAACAAAAUGAAAUGGAGAGUGGUUAUUGGAUUGAGGGUACUAUUCCUUAACAUAUUACACAAUUAUCUUAUUUCCUGGGGCACUAUAAUUAACACCACAGUCUUAUUUACCCUUAUAGGUAAAUAACUUCAGGACAGAGCUGGGGGCCAUCACCACAGCAGCAUGGAAAUCACAACUAGUGCUAUACUCCCUGGUGAUCUUGAGGGCAUUUUUUUCCUAAGUGUUAGGUAUUGGCCUGUGCUCCCUGUCAACAUUCUGUGAGUCUAGAGAAACAAUACUGGACUAGCAGUGCUUUCAGAAAUGCCCAAGAAAAUGUUCAGAGGUGCUAGUGUUCUUCUGUUCUUGUUAAAGCAACAUAGAUGUUGGAGCAGAGGAUGGAAGUCUUUGCCUUAAGUCUUUUUACCCCUCCAGAGUCGCUGUUCAUCCAUGGCAAAUAAGCUCCAGAGACACAAUCCUAAUGGAUGGGCAGACCAACAAGAGGACAUGUGACAUCUACAUGAAGAACUUCUUGCACCAUGGGAUGGUAAAGAACAGGCUAUGUUUUGAAAGCAGACCUCUGACACAGGGUCUUGCGUUUCGUCUUGCUGUCACACUGUGUUACCACACCACAUCACACUGUGUGACAUAACCGACAAACCCUGUUGUAACCUGUAUGUGUCAUGGGAAGGCAGCCUGCUGCCUGAUUCUUGUAAGAGUGCUUCAGGAAAAAGGCAAUCCUACUAAUUCCCCACAGCCAGAACUGUAGCAGGAGCAAAGCUGAACAGAGCUGCUUGCUCUCUUCCUACCUAUCUAUAAUCAGCUUCAGGCAGUCAGCACUUGUCACCCUGAACAUUUCAGAAAUUCUAGAGUACAUGGUGAUAUAAAGCCACUGAAAUGGAGUAAUGUCCCAUGAAGAAAGAGGCUGUCUGUUGAAACCUACUUUUUCACAUUCAAGUAGGAGGUGGUGUGAUAGGGCACACCACAGCAGGGUCCUGACAGCAUACGUCAGUGAGGACAAAUGAACUUUUCAGUGCUGGUCCAAGGUAUUUCAGUUUUGUAUCUAGCCCUCUCUGUGCCCUGCUGUCUUCAUGGUGGUGAUACCAGUUUGGAAGUGAUACCAAGGAACUACUCAGAAUAUGAGAACUUCAACUUUUUCUUUUGUUGCGUUCCCCAGGAAUUACCGCUCGCAACAAUUUGUGGAUGUCCCCCUCAGAUUAUUUUAACUAAGAGCUUUCCUGAUUUAUUUUGUCUCCAGGGGAUUUCUAACUUAUGUGAACUAUGACUGGUGAUAAUGAAAUAUAUUGUCAUGCCACAAAUUCAAUACAUUAAAAUAAGUGAUGGUCUCUCAUGCUCUUUCUCACUUUGUGAACUUCUAGGCUUGUAUCAUCAUCCCUAAUACAUUCAAUAUCACUGACUCACCUUAAAUUCAGAGAUGCAAAUUCUUUCAUGAAACUCAAUAAGCAGCAUUUUAGAAAGCUGUUUUUAAUAUUCAUCAAGCAGGUCAUUCAGCAUUGGGUGCCAGCUUAGCAAAACGAUGAGACGCUCCCUUGCACCUUGAUGUAGAGAUGGAUUUCAUCCAGCAUCAGAAAUUUGCUUCUCCAGCAAACAGAAUUUAACAAUGAGCUGUGCAGGCAAAGAAACAAGAUGCUUCUCUUCUCAGUAUCCUAAGAACACUUUGCUUUGUCAACAAGAGAAACAAGAGAGAAAAUGUCCCCCUGAGCACUAUUAUGUCAAGGCCUCUGUGGUGCUCAGCUGUCCCACUAAAGGCUUCACAGUAGACAGGCAGAGAUAUAACCUACAGGUCAAAUUCUCCCACCC